GGCGUGCCUAACACAUGCAAGUCGAACGAGAAAGCUCCUUCGGGAGUGAGUAGAGUGGCGCACGGGUGAGUAACACGUGGAUAAUCUGCCUGAUAAUCUGGGAUAACAUUUCGAAAGGGAUGCUAAUACCGGAUAAGCCCACAGUCUCUUCGGAGACAGCGGGAAAAGAUGGCCUCUUCUUGAAAGCUAUUGUUAUCAGAUGAGUCCGCGGUCCAUUAGCUAGUUGGUAGGGUAAUGGCCUACCAAGGCAACGAUGGAUAGCUGGUUUGAGAGAAUGAUCAGCCACACUGGAACUGAGACACGGUCCAGACUCCUACGGGAGGCAGCAGUGGGGAAUUUUGCGCAAUGGGGGAAACCCUGACGCAGCAACGCCGCGUGAGUGAUGAAGGUUUUCGGAUCGUAAAGCUCUGUCAGGAGGGAAGAAACCUCAAUAGGCUAAUACCUUAUUGAAUUGACGGUACCUCCAGAGGAAGCACCGGCUAACUCCGUGCCAGCAGCCGCGGUAAUACGGAGGGUGCAAGCGUUGUUCGGAAUUAUUGGGCGUAAAGCGCGUGUAGGCGGUUAGUUAAGUCUGAUGUGAAAGCCCCGGGCUCAACCUGGGAAGUGCAUUGAAAACUGGCAAACUUGAGUACGGGAGAGGGAAGUGGAAUUUCGAGUGUAGGGGUGAAAUCCGUAGAUAUUCGAAGGAACACCAGUGGCGAAGCGGCUUCCUGGACCGAUACUGACGCUGAGACGCGAAAGCGUGGGGAGCAAACAGGAUUAGAUACCCUGUAGUCCACGCCGUAAACGAUGGGUACUAGUGUUGCGGGUAUUGACCCCUGCAGUGCCGAAGCUAACGCAUUAAGUACCCCGCCUGGGGAGUA
Molecule: ribosomal RNA, 863 nt
Filed under: uncultured bacterium
Lineage: Bacteria
Description: bacterial SSU rRNA
Rfam family: Bacterial small subunit ribosomal RNA
Source: RNAcentral